AACCCAAAUUUGCAACUUAAAAUUUCUACAGCUGUGUUUGCAAGAAAUCAACUAUUACUUUUCUACAUACGUAGCUCUCGUAAUAUAUUGAUAUGCAUCAUGUAGAUACAUAUAGGAAAAGAAAUGUACCCAGAAAAACUAAAACUAGAACGAACAGUGUGUAUAUUUCGAAUUUAGCAUUUCGUAGCCACUCACAUUGAAAUGCUAAGUUCUCGAAGGAAUAAUCACAGCAUCAGGUAAAGAAAAAAAAAAUACUUUAUCCCAAAUGGCACAAGACAAUCCGCUCAAUCUUACUGCAGGAGUAUUAUUUAUAAUUGCUCUGAGGACCACCGCUUGCAAUUGCAAGUCACAAUUUGGCAACGAUGCACUUGCACACCAACCAAGAACCAACUCCCAUGUCGCAGGCUCGCCUAUAAAAUCACUCUUGCAGGUGGCACAACACUCGCCUUGUCAGUUGUCACUUCACCGUCACCGUGCGCCAAGAAGCCGCC
Molecule: long non-coding RNA, 491 nt
Filed under: Sorghum bicolor (sorghum)
Lineage: Eukaryota; Viridiplantae; Streptophyta; Magnoliopsida; Poales; Poaceae
Description: long non-coding RNA (SBIC_LNC004167)
Source: RNAcentral